GUACUGACGGAGCUGGCACAGAGUUCCCUUGGGACUCCAGAUUUGACUGUCUUGUUGAAAGGCUCCAGAGCCUGCUUUGAAAGUCACUUGACAAGGCACAGAUUUGCCGUGAUUUUUUGACAAGGCACAGCUUUGCCAUGAUUUUUAUACUUGAAUUCCGACUGUAAUGCCAAUGCCAUGUGUUAGCCUUUCUCCAGCAGCUAUUAAAAACAGAAUGAGCGUUAAGAAUCUGAUUACCUUUUAACUAAAUUCAAAACAAAGAUGCGGGGUGAAGCGACUGGAAGCGUCCUGCAAGUCUGACGUGGGUAUCGCUGCCGUGCAUGUUAUCUGCCUGUCUACUGAUCGCUCCUGCCUCUUGUUCUGCCGCGGUAAUUCCUCUGGGUAAGGCGUUGGGCUCUGACUGUAGUGCACCCCGACUCCCUCCUGACCCCUGCGAGACGUUAUCGGUGUUUGCCUUCCUCCCGUUUCACAGGGCCUCGGCUGUUGCGUGCAGAGAAGCUGUCAGCCUUGUGAGAGAGCAUGCAGCCGGCAAGCGCAUCAUGGUGCUUCGGUACUGAGCUGAUACCACAGGCAUCCGUCUUUUGUUUGCGAAAAGGGAUCGCGAGGAAAUGUGCUGACGUUGGAGGGGGAAAGGUGGCGGGGGAACAGAGGUGAUUUCCAGGCGGAGCUGACCAGUGGGGUUCUCUGGCUGAGGGGAAGACCAGCAGUCAGCUGGUGGAUGUGCUUCUGGAAGAAAUAGCAACGGGAGCUCUAAGAGGGGGAAAUGGCUUCACUGCAUGGGAGGAGGAGGGGAGCGCUGAAGCUUUCGUGGCCAAGCCCCGGAGCCAGGAUGUCAGGGAGAAGCAGGAGUAUCUGAGCCAGCUGAAGAACAAGCUGGGAGAUCUACUAGAGGGGAAGGCAGAUGAUCUGAAGACUGCUUUCUGUGCGAUUGAUCCCAGUAUCGACGAUCAGACGCUAGAUACCUACAUUGACCUGCCAGAUCAAGAAGAUGUGCCUGUGGAAACUGCACUCGAGAGGCUGCUUGCUGGAUAUGCGAGACGAGUAGGGCCCUCGCCCAGGGAAGGAAGCACGACAGGCUUUGGAGGGGAGGAAGGAGACUUCCAAUAAUAAGAAUAAAUGGACUGUUUGAUCUACA
This is an RNA transcript of Falco peregrinus (peregrine falcon), 1135 nucleotides long. It is a transcript of the gene named translin associated factor X interacting protein 1, with no coding region annotated. NCBI's taxonomy places the organism in Eukaryota, Metazoa, Chordata, Aves, Falconiformes, Falconidae. The transcript has 4 exons. The record is from RefSeq and is a predicted model, not a curated record.